CCCCCCCCCCCCCCCAGCUUUUAUUUAGUGCAAUUGUGGUACAUAACAACUUUUGUCGGCAUCCUCCACGCGACCAACACAAAGUAGACUCAACCUUCUCUUACCUAACACACAGAGUGAGUGUAAGAAUUUUGGCACCCACGUGCUCUUUCAUCAAAUAUACCUAAAGUCAUAAUUUCAAUAAGGAAACUAUUGAUGACUUGGUUUCAACGUGGAUUCUAAAUAUUUGUAUUCCUUUUCAAAUCUAAAUUAUAUGUUAAGUCUUUAUAUUCAAGUUAACGUAGAUUCCAAAUAUUUGUAUUCCUUUUGGAAUUUAAAUUCUAUGUUAAGUCUCUAUAUUCUUUCCUAGAAUAUGUAGAAUAAUCAAUCUUUAAAAACGUAUUAAAUUAUAAGAUUUGACACUUACAACAAUUUCACUUCAAAACGACUUGUUUCUUCUAUGAACUAAGUCGCCUAGAUUCCACCAUUGUUGAGCAUUGGCAAGUUCUUCAAGUGCAUAACAUGGUCACGCAUGCGUCGCAUGCACAAAAUCUGAGGUAUUUACUUAUUUGCUUUCCUUCUAGAUGCUAAAAUUUGCAGAUUCAUCAAUAUUAAUCGAUCAUUAAAGGUAUAUUUGGUGUGCUAAAAUAUACACGCACACAAAACAUCGCUCUCAAUCACAGCUCCGUUACGACACAAGAGACAAGUUCUUCCGGUACAUAACACGUAUAUGCACACACAAAAACUUAGGUAACUAUCUAUUUCUUAUCAUUUAUGCAAACAUGUGCAUCUAUGACAAUAAUAAUUCACUGUUAAUACUGACUAUACAGUGAAAACGUCCUCUUCCCACUCCUUUUAAAGCUUUCCAUUCAUAUAACUUCUUUUUCCAUUACUCACUCUGAAUCCCGACCAUCUUCCAUCGCCUAGAUUCGACCAUUAUCAAGCACCAACAAGUUCUUCAAGUGUGUAAGCAUACACAAAAACUAAUGUGCAGAUACAACUGUAAAAAUCAAUGGCUAAAUGUACUUUUGGUAUUUGGUACUCAACACUGAUUAGAAGCUACCAUAAAACAUGCUAUCUUCCAUUAAAUAACUCACUUUUCCAAUUCUCAAUCUCAAUC
Molecule: long non-coding RNA, 1099 nt
Filed under: Olea europaea (common olive)
Lineage: Eukaryota; Viridiplantae; Streptophyta; Magnoliopsida; Lamiales; Oleaceae
Description: long non-coding RNA (OEUR_LNC013417)
Source: RNAcentral